UGGAGUUACUAGUAAUCGCAGAUCAGAAUGCUGCGGUGAAUGCGUUCCCGGGCCUUGUACACACCGCCCGUCACACCACGGAAGUUGGGGGCGCCCGAAGCCACUUAGCUAACCCUUUUGGGAAGCGAGUGUCGAAGGUGAAAUCAAUAACUGGGGUGAAGUCGUAACAAGGUAGC
This 176-nucleotide ribosomal RNA is filed under the name uncultured bacterium. Its description in RNAcentral is "partial 16S ribosomal RNA". It matches the Rfam family "Bacterial small subunit ribosomal RNA", at positions 1327 to 1500 of the family's 1533-position model. The record is from RNAcentral.